UACGGAGACUGCGAGCGUUACUCGGAUCCACUGGGCGUAAAGGGUGCGUAGGCGGCUAGAUGUGUCAGGUGUGAAAGCCUGGAGCUUAACUCCAGAAUUGCGCCUGAAACUAUUUAGCUAGAGUCUCGGAGAGGUAAGUGGAAUUCCUAGUGUAGCGGUGAAAUGCGUAGAUAUUAGGAGGAACACCAAAGGCGAAGGCAGCUUACUGGACGAGAACUGACGCUGAGGCACGAAAGCGUGGGGAGCGAAAGGG
RNAcentral lists this unclassified non-coding RNA (253 nucleotides) under uncultured Verrucomicrobiota bacterium. RNAcentral describes it as "uncultured Verrucomicrobia bacterium contains 16S-23S intergenic spacer region". It matches the Rfam family "Bacterial small subunit ribosomal RNA", at positions 524 to 776 of the family's 1533-position model. The record is from RNAcentral. Lineage: Bacteria; Pseudomonadati; Verrucomicrobiota.